RNAcentral lists this transfer RNA (75 nucleotides) under Microgenomates group bacterium RBG_16_45_19. RNAcentral describes it as "tRNA-Met". It matches the Rfam family "tRNA". Rfam says of the family: Transfer RNA (tRNA) molecules are approximately 80 nucleotides in length. The record is from RNAcentral.
GGCAGGGUAGCUCAAUGGCGGAGCAAGGUCUUCAUAAGGCCGAGGUUGUGGGUUCGACCCCCACCCCUGCUACAA